This is a non-coding RNA of Cinara cedri, 268 nucleotides long. NCBI's taxonomy places the organism in Eukaryota, Metazoa, Arthropoda, Insecta, Hemiptera, Aphididae. The record is from the annotation of a GenBank genome assembly.
AGCCGGUAGGUAUUACUUUCUUAGUUCAAAUUUAUGCCGAUUACCUUCUAAAACGCUAGGUGUCUUGCUGCACACGGUGAGACUCAAGAAAAUCAAUGAAAAGGUACUUUGAUCCGCAUCUUAUAAUUUUAAUUUGUGGCAUCAUUUGAUUUGUGACAUUACAUUGGGCUGCUUAACAACCACUCCGAAAUAGUUUUAUCAAAAUUCAUCAUUAACCCAACAUAAAAUUAAAGUAGAUAACAUGAUAGAUAGCUAUUGAAUAAGUAUU